CUGGCUCAGGAUGAACGCUAGCUACAGGCUUAACACAUGCAAGUCGAGGGGCAGCAUGAUCGAAGCUUGCUUGAUGAUGGCGACCGGCGCACGGGUGAGUAACGCGUAUCCAACCUUCCCUAUAGUAGAGGAUAGCCCGGCGAAAGUCGGAUUAAUACUCUAUGUUUUCCAAUGAGGACAUCUGAGCUGGAACAAAGGUUUACCGCUAUAGGAUGGGGAUGCGUCUGAUUAGGUUGUUGGCGGGGUAACGGCCCACCAAGCCUACGAUCAGUAGGGGUUCUGAGAGGAAGGUCCCCCACAUUGGAACUGAGACACGGUCCAAACUCCUACGGGAGGCAGCAGUGAGGAAUAUUGGUCAAUGGGCGAGAGCCUGAACCAGCCAAGUAGCGUGCAGGAAUGACGGCCCUAUGGGUUGUAAACUGCUUUUAUACAGGGAUAAAGUGCGCCACGUGUGGCGUUUUGUAGGUACUGUAUGAAUAAGGACCGGCUAAUUCCGUGCCAGCAGCUGC
RNAcentral lists this ribosomal RNA (509 nucleotides) under uncultured bacterium. RNAcentral describes it as "bacterial SSU rRNA". It matches the Rfam family "Bacterial small subunit ribosomal RNA", at positions 19 to 518 of the family's 1533-position model. The record is from RNAcentral.